Molecule: non-coding RNA, 908 nt
Organism: Castor canadensis (American beaver)
Lineage: Eukaryota; Metazoa; Chordata; Mammalia; Rodentia; Castoridae
Source: RefSeq, a predicted model, not a curated record
GAUCUGAGGAGAGGACAGGAUAUUUUUUUCCAGAAUCAAGCAGAGUGAUUAAAAUGAUUUAUUUGGUUGAUCUGUUUAAUCAGAAUCAUUGUAGAAUCUGAAUAUACUUGCAAGGUGAUAUUUUACACAUGAUGGUGUCUUAAAUCAAUGAAAUAUGGUACACCCUGUAUAUCAACCUGUGUCUGUGAAGAUAUGGCUAAAGUUAAUAUACAGCACCAAUAGGUAGAAUUUUCAUUUUUUCUAAAAAACAAAAAUCAAAACAAAAUAUGCACACCUUUAUAUGUUAGGGGCAGUCAGUUCUGUUUAUUUCAUUUUUAAGGAAGUAAACUAAUAUAACUCCCUGUUGCUAUAAAUACGUAUUUAUUUUGGUUAUUUGAAUAUGCCACGAAUAACUGGGGUUAUCGGUCUAGAAAUGUGAUAAUUUUGAUUUUGUCUGUUGGUAUUGGUACUUAAGAAACAUUAAAUACUACAUAAUAUUUUUCAAAUAGAGAAGUCUCUGGAGAUGUGAUAUUAAAAGAUGUAUCUGUGCCCUGACAAUUACUUCCCCUCCAAAAAAACCAAGAGAGCAUGACAUAAUCAAAUAAGUUUGGGAAAUAUGGAGUUAAACAAGAUUUAAGUAAUGUCCUUACUGCAUAUCUUCUUAGUACUUUUAAGAUGAUACUGUACACAGCAAAUCUGCAAAAUGGAGCCCACAGCAUUUGAGACUUCUGUGUCAGAACCCCUUCUUCAUGAACCAUUUACUGACAAUCUCAAAAGGACAUAAGUACUUUACAGAAUACAACUUUGAGAACUCCAAUAACUAUAAUAAUAGAUAACUUGAUCUAUUACCUGGAAAUGAGCUAUUAUGUUUAAUUGACUAUGUUGAUGCUUCUUGCUUUAACCACCAAGAGUUUUCAUUUCAUUUUGAA